CUGCUAUCGGAUGAUACUAAGCCAUGCGAGUCUUUGUAGUAAUACAAGGCAGACGGCUCAGUAACACGUAGUCAACCUACCCUAUGGACGAGAAUAAUCUCGGGAAACUGAGCAUAAUUCUUGAUAGAUCAUAAUGCCUGGAAUGGUUUAUGGUUAAAAUGAUUCGUCGCCAUAGGAUGGGACUGCGGCCUAUCAGCUUGUUGGUGAGGUAAUGGCCCACCAAGGCGAUUACAGGUACGGGCUCUGAGAGGAGAAGCCCGGAGAUGGGUACUGAGACACGGACCCAGGCCCUAUGGGGCGCAGCAGGCGAGAAAACUUUGCAAUGUGCGAAAGCACGACAAGGUUAAUCCGAGUGAUUUCUGCUAAAGAAAUCUUUUGCCAGUCAUAAAACCACUGGUGAAUAAGGGGUGGGCAAGUUCUGGUGUCAGCCGCCGCGGUAAAACCAGCACCUCAAGUGGUCAGGAUGAUUAUUGGGCCUAGAGCAUCCGUAGCCGGCUUUGUAAGUUUUCGGUUAAAUCCACGUGCUCAACGCAUGGGCUGCCGAAAAUACUGCAUAGCUAGGGAGUGGGAGAGGUAGACGGUACUCAGUAGGUAGGGGUAAAAUCCUUUGAUCUAUUGAUGACCACCUGUGGCGAAGGCGGUCCACCAGAACACGUUCGACGGUGAGGGAUGAAAGCUGGGGGAGCAAACCGGAUUAGAUACCCGGGUAGUCCCAGCUGUAAACGAUGCAGACUAGAUGAUGCAUUGGCAUAAUAGCCAUUGCAGUGUCUCAGGGAAGCCGUUAAGUCUGCCGCCUGGGAAGUACGUACGCAAGUAUGAAACUUAAGGAAUUGGCGGGGAGCACCACAAGGGUGAAGCCUGCGGUUCA
This 868-nucleotide ribosomal RNA is filed under the name uncultured marine group I thaumarchaeote. RNAcentral describes it as "SSU rRNA". It matches the Rfam family "Archaeal small subunit ribosomal RNA", at positions 27 to 904 of the family's 1478-position model. Lineage: Archaea; Thermoproteati; Nitrososphaerota. The record is from RNAcentral.